RNAcentral lists this ribosomal RNA (448 nucleotides) under uncultured bacterium. RNAcentral's name for it is "SSU rRNA". It matches the Rfam family "Bacterial small subunit ribosomal RNA", at positions 26 to 518 of the family's 1533-position model. The record is from RNAcentral.
AGAGCGAACGCUGGCGGCAGGCCUAACACAUGCAAGUCGAGCGCCCGUAGCAAUACGGGAGCGGCAGACGGGAUAGUAACACGUGGGAACGCGCCCUUCGGUUCGGAAUAACUCAGGGAAACUUGAGCUAAUACCGGAUACGCCCUUACGGGGAAAGAUUUAUUGCCGAAGGAACGGCCCGCGUCCGAUUAGCUAGUUGGUGAGGUAAUGGCUCACCAAGGCGACGAUCGGUAGCUGGUCUGAGAGGAUGACCAGCAUCACUGGGACUGAGACACGGCCCAGACUCCUACGGGAGGCAGCAGUGGGGAAUAUUGGACAAUGGGCGCAAGCCUGAUCCAGCCAUGCCGCAUGGAUGAUGAAGGCCUUAGGGUUGUAAAGUCCUUUUAACGGGGAAGAUAAUGACGGUACCCGUAGAAUAAGCCCCGGCUAACUUCGUGCCAGCAGCCGC